GAUGAAGAACGUAGCGAAAUGCGAUAAGUAAUGUGAAUUGCAGAAUUCAGUGAAUCAUCGAAUCUUUGAACGCACAUUGCGCCCGCUAGUAUUCUGGCGGGCAUGCCUGUCCGAGCGUCAUUUCAACCCUCAAGCCCCCGGGCUUGGUGUUGGGGAUCGGCGAGCCUCCGCGCCCGCCGUCCCCUAAAUCUAGUGGCGGUCUCGCUGUAGCUUCCUCUGCGUAGUAGCACACCUCGCACUGGGAAACAGCGCGGCCACCCCGUUAAACCCCCAACUUCUGAACGUUUGACCUCGGAUCAGGUAGGAAUACCCGCUGAACUUAAGCAUAUCAAUAAGCGGAGGA
RNAcentral lists this unclassified non-coding RNA (343 nucleotides) under soil metagenome. Its description in RNAcentral is "partial contains 5.8S ribosomal RNA, internal transcribed spacer 2, and large subunit ribosomal RNA". The stretch from base 1 to 120 matches the Rfam family "5.8S ribosomal RNA", at positions 35 to 154 of the family's 154-position model. The record is from RNAcentral.